AGCGACCCACGGCGGCAGAUCCGACGGAGAUCGUCCCCGGGGAAGUGGGCUGGGACAAGGGAAUUGGCUCCCACGAGGCCGAGGAUCAGAGCAGGCUCUGCACAGGGGACAACUUCCACUUCUGAAUGGGGAAGGGCACCUUUGUCCCCACCCCCAGCAAACUGGGACGGAGUAACAUCUGCCUGCAGCUGGCUGGAGUUCCCGUUGGCUCUGGGCUUUCUGUCCACGGGCCGGGGAUCAUGGCCAGAGUCCUUCAAACCUGGGGAACAGUGGCCUUCACACCAUCCCUGCAGCCUGUCCAGGGCAGGCUGCUGCCCUUCGGCCCCUGAUCACAGGUGGAUGUAGAAGUGAUGGUGUUUAGGGAAUGUUGAUUGUAUUUCCCUGACUUUAGCAACGUGGUCAUUAAAAAGAGAAAAAUAACAAGUCUGUGGAAAUCCCCUGCACGUGGGAGCUUGCAGGCUCUGGAUUAAA
This is a long non-coding RNA of Pipra filicauda (Wire-tailed manakin), 471 nucleotides long. RefSeq lists it as uncharacterized. The record is from RefSeq and is a predicted model, not a curated record. The transcript has 2 exons. Lineage: Eukaryota; Metazoa; Chordata; Aves; Passeriformes; Pipridae.